This 496-nucleotide ribosomal RNA is filed under the name uncultured bacterium. Its description in RNAcentral is "partial 16S ribosomal RNA". It matches the Rfam family "Bacterial small subunit ribosomal RNA", at positions 29 to 507 of the family's 1533-position model. The record is from RNAcentral.
AUGAACGCUGGCGGCGUGCCUCAUACAUGCAAGUCGCGCGAACGGACGAGAAGCUUGCUUCUCUGAUGUUAGCGGCGGACGGGUGAGUAACACGUGGAUAACCUACCUAUAAGACUGGGAUAACUUCGGGAAACCGGAGCUAAUACCGGAUAAUAUUUUGAACCGCAUGGUUCAAAAGUAAAAGACGGUCUUGCUGUCACUUAUAGAUGGAUCCGCGCUGCAUUAGCUAGUUGGUAAGGUAACGGCUUACCAAGGCAACGAUGCAUAGCCGACCUGAGAGGGUGAUCGGCCACACUGGAACUGAGACACGGUCCAGACUCCUACGGGAGGCAGCAGUAGGGAAUCUUCCGCAAUGGGCGAAAGCCUGACGGAGCAACGCCGCGUGAGUGAUGAAGGUCUUCGGAUCGUAAAACUCUGUUAUUAGGGAAGAACAUAUGUGUAAGUAACUGUGCACAUCUUGACGGUACCUAAUCAGAAAGCCACGGCUAACUACGUG